GACGAACGCUGGCGGCGUGCUUAACACAUGCAAGUCGAACGGUGAAGCGAGUGCUUGCACUCGUGGAUCAGUGGCGAACGGGUGAGUAACACGUGAGUAACCUGCCCAUCACUCUGGGAUAAGCACUGGAAACGGUGUCUAAUACUGGAUACGACCAGCCCUUGCAUGGGGUGUUGGUGGAAAGAUUUAUCGGUGAUGGAUGGACUCGCGGCCUAUCAGCUUGUUGGCGGGGUAAUGGCCCACCAAGGCGACGACGGGUAGCCGGCCUGAGAGGGUGACCGGCCACACUGGGACUGAGACACGGCCCAGACUCCUACGGGAGGCAGCAGUGGGGAAUAUUGCACAAUGGGCGAAAGCCUGAUGCAGCGACGCCGCGUGAGGGAUGACGGCCUUCGGGUUGUAAACCUCUUUCAGCAGGGAAGAAGCGAAAGUGACGGUACCUGCAGAAGAAGCACCGGCUAACUACGUG
RNAcentral lists this ribosomal RNA (469 nucleotides) under uncultured bacterium. RNAcentral describes it as "partial 16S ribosomal RNA". It matches the Rfam family "Bacterial small subunit ribosomal RNA", at positions 28 to 507 of the family's 1533-position model. The record is from RNAcentral.